GACGAACGCUGGCGGCGUGCUUAACACAUGCAAGUCGAACGAUGAAGCCGGAGCUUGCUCUGGUGCAUUAGUGGCGAACGGGUGAGUAACACGUGAGUAACCUGCCCUUGACUCUGGGAUAACUGCGGGAAACUGUAGCUAAUACCGGAUACGACCCUCGGAGGCAUCUCCUGGGGGUGGAAAGAAUUUCGGUCAAGGAUGGACUCGAGGCCUAUCAGCUAGUGGGCGAGGUAAAGGGUCACCAAGGCGACGACGGGUAGCCGGCCUGAGAGGGUGACCGGCCACGCUGGGACUGAGACACGGCCCAGACUCCUACGGGAGGCAGCAGUGGGGAAUAUUGCACAAUGGGCGCAAGCCUGAUGCAGCAACGCCGCGUGAGGGAUGACGGCCUUCGGGUUGUAAACCUCUUUUAGCAGGGAAGAAGCGAAAGUGACGGUACCUGCAGAAAAAGCACCGGCUAACUACGUGCCAGCCGCCGCCGUAA
RNAcentral lists this ribosomal RNA (484 nucleotides) under uncultured bacterium. RNAcentral describes it as "partial 16S ribosomal RNA". It matches the Rfam family "Bacterial small subunit ribosomal RNA", at positions 28 to 523 of the family's 1533-position model. The record is from RNAcentral.